Long non-coding RNA from Empidonax traillii (willow flycatcher), 273 nucleotides. RefSeq lists it as uncharacterized. The transcript is spliced from 3 exons. The record is from RefSeq and is a predicted model, not a curated record. Lineage: Eukaryota; Metazoa; Chordata; Aves; Passeriformes; Tyrannidae.
CAUCUUUCUGAGCCCCUGGUGGGGAGGAGAUAGAGAAAAUCAGAAGUAAAACCAAGUCCAGAAAGAAGGAAGGGUGGGGACAGUGUGGUGCUCUGGAAUCCCUGGAGCCCAGGAGCAUGAAUGAAGGUAUUGAAUUUUCAGGAGGAGACAAUUAAGACCAAGCAUGGAUAUAUGGAAAAAAAGCAACACUUUCAGAGUAAACUUGAAGGAAAAUAAUCUGCAUUGUCAAGUCAUUGAAAUUUCUGAUUUGUGACAUCUCUUAAUAAGUCUGAG